GACGAACGCUGGCGGCGUGCUUAACACAUGCAAGUCGAACGAAGAGCGAUGGAAGCUUGCUUCUAUCAAUCUUAGUGGCGAACGGGUGAGUAACGCGUAAUCAACCUGCCCUUCAGAGGGGGACAACAGUUGGAAACGACUGCUAAUACCGCAUACGAUCUAAUCUCGGCAUCGAGGAUAGAUGAAAGGUGGCCUCUACAUGUAAGCUAUCACUGAAGGAGGGGAUUGCGUCUGAUUAGCUAGUUGGAGGGGUAACGGCCCACCAAGGCGAUGAUCAGUAGCCGGUCUGAGAGGAUGAACGGCCACAUUGGGACUGAGACACGGCCCAGACUCCUACGGGAGGCAGCAGUGGGGAAUCUUCCGCAAUGGACGAAAGUCUGACGGAGCAACGCCGCGUGAGUGAUGACGGCCUUCGGGUUGUAAAGCUCUGUUAAUCGGGACGAAAGGCCUUCUUGCAAACAGUUAGAAGGAUUGACGGUACCGGAAUAGAAAGCCACGGCUAACUACGUG
This 510-nucleotide ribosomal RNA is filed under the name uncultured bacterium. RNAcentral describes it as "partial 16S ribosomal RNA". It matches the Rfam family "Bacterial small subunit ribosomal RNA", at positions 28 to 507 of the family's 1533-position model. The record is from RNAcentral.